UACGUAGGGGGCUAGCGUUGUUCGGAAUCACUGGGCGUAAAGCGCGUGUAGGCGGCUAAGUAAGUCGGGUGUGAAAGCCCUCAGCUCAACUGAGGAAGUGCGCCCGAAACUGCUUGGCUUGAGUGCCGGAGAGGAUGGCGGAAUACCCCAAGUAGAGGUGAAAUUCGUAGAUAUGGGGUGGAACACCGGUGGCGAAGGCGGCCAUCUGGACGGUAACUGACGCUGAGACGCGAAAGCGUGGGUAGCAAACAGG
RNAcentral lists this ribosomal RNA (253 nucleotides) under uncultured bacterium. Its description in RNAcentral is "partial 16S ribosomal RNA". It matches the Rfam family "Bacterial small subunit ribosomal RNA", at positions 524 to 776 of the family's 1533-position model. The record is from RNAcentral.